This is a long non-coding RNA of Nycticebus coucang (slow loris), 1319 nucleotides long. RefSeq lists it as uncharacterized. The record is from RefSeq and is a predicted model, not a curated record. The transcript is spliced from 4 exons. NCBI's taxonomy places the organism in Eukaryota, Metazoa, Chordata, Mammalia, Primates, Lorisidae.
UCAGCGGCUGGAGAAAGCAGGAUGGCAGGGUGGGGGUGGGGGACGUUCAGCCUGGCGAGCUUGCAGGGACUGGUGUCUCCGCUGUGUCUGUUAGCAGCAUCUGGCUGUGACUGGUUUCAUCCACGUCCUCGGAAGGGCGGGACCCACAGGCGGGGGAAAGCCAGGAGCCUUCCCGGAGCCUGGGCCAAGAGAGGCGGUCUACUGAGACAGGAAAGGCCCCGGGCAGCGCGGUCCAAGGGGGGUGGCCUGGGGCGUCUGCGUCCCGCGUGGUUAAAAGCACGCACAGCGCUGCCAGGAAGAGCUUCCGCACCUGGAAGAUCUUCGGAAGACUCUUACUGGGUCAGACCUUCGGGUUAUUUUUAAACCCUGGAUCCGGUUCCAGACAGCACCUGCCCGCAGUCCGCACAGCUCCGGAAGGCUGCGGGCCGCGCCGGCGGGCGACGGGAGGCGAGGGCGCAGCGGCCGGCUCAGGACGCAGUGCGAACCCUGAGCGCCGCCCCGCCCGCCUCGCGGCUCCCGGCCCCUGCUGAACCUUGGUGCUCUAACGAUAAAGACGUGUAGCGCGUCUGGACAGGGCGGUCCGCGCUGGACCCUCGGCGCAGGGCAAGGAGCGCGCCGGGACCCUGCGGAGGCGCGGCCCGCAAGGAGGAGGUUCCUGGGCACGUCUAGACUGACUGAGCAAGGGCCAAGCGACAGUUUAUAAGCCACGGGCUGUGACGGCGGAGAGGCGGGGUGUCCGGGGCAGGCGGCGUGCCGGGACUUGUGGCUAAGAGAGUGGGAAGAGGUGGUGGCAUGAGCGUGACCCGGGAGCUUGGCUAAGAUUUGCAAGAAGGGAGGUGAGGGGGGAAGGACAGCGGAAGGAAUUGCCUGAGCCAGAAAUAGGAGCCAUCAGGGAUCGUGGAUGCCGAGACGCCCUGUACUGCCUGUCAAGGAGUUCGAACCUUCAGUCAUAGCAAACCCAGUCAAAGAAGGUUGGAGCAUGGACAUGGUGCUGGCACCAGCUUGAAGCUGUGCCCCAGGAGUUGUGGACAAGUAAGACAGGGAGAGGCUGAGCUCCUGGGUGACCUGUGAGUGCAGAUGAGCCCUGCACUGCCUACGGAGCUUUAGACUAGCAGUUCUACGAAGGCUCCAUCCUUGAAGAAGCCUUUUCCUGGUGGUCACCAGGUGGCUGUACUGCUCCUGACAUCUACCCCAGCUUCAUGUCCAGGCGGUCUCUUCUGAAACAUGAAUCUUUGUUGUGAAGAGAGCCUUAGCGGUUUAAUCCCAUGUGAGUUCAGAAUUGUUUUGUAGCCUCUAAAUCACCUCCAUAGCAAUCUUGU